AUUGAACGCUGGCGGCAGGCCUAACACAUGCAAGUCGAGCGGAUGAAGGGAGCUUGCUCCUGGAUUCAGCGGCGGACGGGUGAGUAAUGCCUAGGAAUCUGCCUGGUAGUGGGGGAUAACGUCCGGAAACGGGCGCUAAUACCGCAUACGUCCUGAGGGAGAAAGUGGGGGAUCUUCGGACCUCACGCUAUCAGAUGAGCCUAGGUCGGAUUAGCUAAUUGGUGGGGUAAAGGCCUACCAAGGCGACGAUCCGUAACUGGUCUGAGAGGAUGAUCAGUCACACUGGAACUGAGACACGGUCCAGACUCCUACGGGAGGCAGCAGUGGGGAAUAUUGGACAAUGGGCGAAAGCCUGAUCCAGCCAUGCCGCGUGUGCGAAGAAGGUCUUCGGAUUGUAAAGCACUUUAAGUUGGGAGGAAGGGCAGUAAGUUAAUACCUUGCUGUUUUGACGUUACCAACAGAAUAAGCACCGGCUAACUUCGUG
RNAcentral lists this ribosomal RNA (484 nucleotides) under uncultured bacterium. RNAcentral describes it as "partial 16S ribosomal RNA". It matches the Rfam family "Bacterial small subunit ribosomal RNA", at positions 30 to 507 of the family's 1533-position model. The record is from RNAcentral.